This 945-nucleotide ribosomal RNA is filed under the name Microbacterium paraoxydans. Its description in RNAcentral is "bacterial SSU rRNA". It matches the Rfam family "Bacterial small subunit ribosomal RNA", at positions 55 to 1007 of the family's 1533-position model. Lineage: Bacteria; Bacillati; Actinomycetota; Actinomycetes; Micrococcales; Microbacteriaceae. The record is from RNAcentral.
AUGCAAGUCGAACGGUGAAGCAGAGCUUGCUCUGUGGAUCAGUGGCGAACGGGUGAGUAACACGUGAGCAACCUGCCCCUGACUCUGGGAUAAGCGCUGGAAACGGCGUCUAAUACUGGAUAUGAGCUGCGAUCGCAUGGUCAGCAGUUGGAAAGAUUUUUCGGUCUGGGAUGGGCUCACGGCCUAUCAGCUUGUUGGUGAGGUAAUGGCUCACCAAGGCGUCGACGGGUAGCCGGCCUGAGAGGGUGACCGGCCACACUGGGACUGAGACACGGCCCAGACUCCUACGGGAGGCAGCAGUGGGGAAUAUUGCACAAUGGGCGAAAGCCUGAUGCAGCAACGCCGCGUGAGGGAUGACGGCCUUCGGGUUGUAAACCUCUUUUAGCAGGGAAGAAGCGAAAGUGACGGUACCUGCAGAAAAAGCGCCGGCUAACUACGUGCCAGCAGCCGCGGUAAUACGUAGGGCGCAAGCGUUAUCCGGAAUUAUUGGGCGUAAAGAGCUCGUAGGCGGUUUGUCGCGUCUGCUGUGAAAUCCCGAGGCUCAACCUCGGGUCUGCAGUGGGUACGGGCAGACUAGAGUGCGGUAGGGGAGAUUGGAAUUCCUGGUGUAGCGGUGGAAUGCGCAGAUAUCAGGAGGAACACCGAUGGCGAAGGCAGAUCUCUGGGCCGUUACUGACGCUGAGGAGCGAAAGGGUGGGGAGCAAACAGGCUUAGAUACCCUGGUAGUCCACCCCGUAAACGUUGGGAACUAGUUGUGGGGUCCAUUCCACGGAUUCCGUGACGCAGCUAACGCAUUAAGUUCCCCGCCUGGGGAGUACGGCCGCAAGGCUAAAACUCAAAGGAAUUGACGGGGACCCGCACAAGCGGCGGAGCAUGCGGAUUAAUUUCGAUGCAACGCGAAGAACCCUUACCAAGGCUUGACAUAUACGAGACGGGCCCAGAAAU